This 207-nucleotide ribosomal RNA is filed under the name uncultured bacterium. RNAcentral's name for it is "partial 16S ribosomal RNA". It matches the Rfam family "Bacterial small subunit ribosomal RNA", at positions 568 to 774 of the family's 1533-position model. The record is from RNAcentral.
UGCGUAGGCGGCUAGGUAAGUCAGAUGUGAAAUUCCGGGGCUCAACCGCGGAACUGCAUUUGAUACUGCUUGGCUAGAGUACUGGAGAGGAGACUGGAAUUUACGGUGUAGCAGUGAAAUGCGUAGAUAUCGUAAGGAAGGCCAGUGGCGAAGGCGAGUCUCUGGACAGUAACUGACGCUGAGGCACGAAGGCCAGGGGAGCAAACG